GUUUGCGAUCAUACCAGCACUAAUGCACCGGAUCCCAUCAGAACUCCGCAGUUAAGCGUGCUUGGGCGAGAGUAGUACUAGGAUGGGUGACCCCCUGGAAGUCCUCGUGUUGCAACCC
Molecule: ribosomal RNA, 118 nt
Filed under: Helianthus annuus (common sunflower)
Lineage: Eukaryota; Viridiplantae; Streptophyta; Magnoliopsida; Asterales; Asteraceae
Source: RNAcentral